RNAcentral lists this ribosomal RNA (396 nucleotides) under uncultured bacterium. RNAcentral describes it as "partial 16S ribosomal RNA". It matches the Rfam family "Bacterial small subunit ribosomal RNA", at positions 523 to 918 of the family's 1533-position model. The record is from RNAcentral.
AUACAGAGGGUGCAAGCGUUAAUCGGAUUUACUGGGCGUAAAGCGCGCGUAGGUGGCUAAUUAAGUCAAAUGUGAAAUCCCCGAGCUUAACUUGGGAAUUGCAUUCGAUACUGGUUAGCUAGAGUAUGGGAGAGGAUGGUAGAAUUCCAGGUGUAGCGGUGAAAUGCGUAGAGAUCUGGAGGAAUACCGAUGGCGAAGGCAGCAAUCUGGCCUAAUGCUGACACUGAGGUGCGAAAGCAUGGGGAGCAAACAGGAUUAUAUCCCCUGGUAGCCCAGGCCGUAAACGAUGUCUACUAGCCGUUGGGGCCCUUGAGGCUUUAGUGGCGCAGCUAACGCGAUAAGUAGACCGCCUGGGGAGUACGGUCGCAAGACUGAAACUUAAAGGAAUUGACGGGG